GUGAAUCAUCGAAUCUUUGAACGCAUAUUGCACUCUCUGGUAUUCCGGAGGGGAUGCCUGUUUGAGGGUAAUUAAAAAGAAUCGUUAACCACUUUUUUUUGGGCAAAGGAAGUGAGUUCUCCGCGUUUAUAGCGGUAGCUUUAAAUAAAUGGUCAAGACACAUUUUAGUCGAGACGCGUAUUAAUAUUCUUUCGCGAAAUCUUCAUUAUGUGAGUAUAAGGUUUUUAUGCAUACAAUUUUGGU
RNAcentral lists this unclassified non-coding RNA (243 nucleotides) under Ambisporaceae sp. RNAcentral's name for it is "partial contains 5.8S ribosomal RNA and internal transcribed spacer 2". The stretch from base 1 to 71 matches the Rfam family "5.8S ribosomal RNA", at positions 84 to 154 of the family's 154-position model. The record is from RNAcentral. Lineage: Eukaryota; Fungi; Glomeromycota; Glomeromycetes; Archaeosporales; Ambisporaceae.